Molecule: ribosomal RNA, 547 nt
Filed under: Rhodotorula taiwanensis
Lineage: Eukaryota; Fungi; Basidiomycota; Microbotryomycetes; Sporidiobolales; Sporidiobolaceae
Description: partial large subunit ribosomal RNA
Rfam family: Eukaryotic large subunit ribosomal RNA
Source: RNAcentral
UAUAAUCUGGCACCUUCGGUGUCCGAGUUGUAAUCUCUAGAAGUGUUUUCCGCGUUGGACCGCACACAAGUCUGUUGGAAUACAGCGGCAUAGUGGUGAGACCCCCGUAUAUGGUGCGGACGCCCAACGCUUUGUGAUACACUUUCGAAGAGUCGAGUUGUUUGGGAAUGCAGCUCAAAUUGGGUGGUAAAUUCCAUCUAAAGCUAAAUAUUGGCGAGAGACCGAUAGCGAACAAGUACCGUGAGGGAAAGAUGAAAAGCACUUUGGAAAGAGAGUUAACAGUACGUGAAAUUGUUGGAAGGGAAACGCUUGAAGUCAGACUUGCUUGCCGAGCAAUCGGUUUGCAGGCCAGCAUCAGUUUUCCGGGGUGGAUAAUGGUAGAGAGAAGGUAGCAGUUUCGGCUGUGUUAUAGCUCUCUGCUGGAUACACCUUGGGGGACUGAGGAACGCAGUGUGCCUUACGGCGGAUUUCUCGAGAUCUUCACACUUAGGAUGCUGGUGGAAUGGCUUUAAACGACCCGUCUUGAAACACGGACCAUGCGUCUUGG